Benincasa hispida (wax gourd) is the source of this 937-nucleotide non-coding RNA. The record is from RefSeq and is a predicted model, not a curated record. NCBI's taxonomy places the organism in Eukaryota, Viridiplantae, Streptophyta, Magnoliopsida, Cucurbitales, Cucurbitaceae.
UUAAUUUUUUUCUUAAAAAAAAAAAAAAAAGUCUCUCUCUCCCUUCUUCCCUCACCCAACCUCUUCCUUCUCGUUUUGGUUUUUCUUCACACUGCCAACGCCCACGCAGCCGUUGCCACCGUCCGACGAGCCGAGGCGCCGUCGAGUUCGUCAGAUCUGAAGCUGUUCACCGCGUCGCUUCCCUCAGGCGCCGCCCAGCCCUCAGCCGCCAGCCGCGACCAUCUGCUCCAACCCAGCCGCGCGUCAGAUCUGAAGGCCCCAACCGCGAGCGUCUGUCGCCCACGCUGUUCGCGAGUCUCUAGCUGUUCGAUCCGUCAGCGUCGCCUUGGUUUGCGCCGCUUUACCUUUUCUAAGCGCUUCAGUCUGCCCGGCAUUGAAGUCCUAGCUGUAAGUCUUCAGCCACCCUACGCUGCCCGUCGGUCCAUCUGCUAGUCGCCACUCGUCGCACUAGCACCAGCCUUCAGCCUGAUGCCCAGUGGCCCAGUCUCCUUCCCCGCACUAGUGCCGUUCGAGCCAGCCUUCUUUCGCCGCCGACGUGGUUUGGGUUUCGUUGAAUUCUGGAAUAAUUUGGAAUCAAGAAUUGAAAAUUUUGAGACAUUGCUUUGAAGUUUAAGACCAAUUCGAUGGAAAAAUUGGGUAAGGUGUCGCUUCAAGGCUCUGCUUGGCAAGAAAAGGAUAAGUUUGCUUGAACUAAUUUGGAUUUACUUUGAGGUAAAGGUAGAGAUUCACUGGCGAUUGACAAGCGGAAUUCGUGAUCGAGCCACUGGGACAAGCUCUAUGCUUCCGCUCAUGAUAUUUAGAUUUCUUUUCAUGUUUUUGAACUUUCAGUUUUGACGUUUGGAACUUACUAUUAAAAUUUAUUUUAAGAUCUAUUUAUUAUCAUUUAUGAUUUAUGGGUACCCUAUCAUUUGUUUUUAAUAUUUGAAUUUAAUGAAGG